Long non-coding RNA from Sapajus apella (tufted capuchin), 3760 nucleotides. RefSeq lists it as uncharacterized. NCBI's taxonomy places the organism in Eukaryota, Metazoa, Chordata, Mammalia, Primates, Cebidae. The record is from RefSeq and is a predicted model, not a curated record. The transcript has 6 exons.
CUGCUCGAGUGGGAGAUACGGAGCCAAAGCCACAGCUUGCCAUGUGAAAAUAACACGUAACCACCCAUGCACCUGCACGGGCUGCUCUCGGGGGUCGGAAUGGAAAACUUGACCAUAGUCUACAGGCUCUGGAGUUCAUAGGAAGAACCUUCUGCACUCCUUCUGGUCUUACUGCCCAAGUCGAGCCUAGAGGCCCUUACCAGAGUCACCAGCUUUCUGUUGCUCUGCCACGUUGGCCAGCACGUUUUACAUUUGACUCCUCAAUGCCUACUGCUAGGGAGAAUCCACCUGGAAUUCAGAUUUUUCCUUCUAAAUGCCAGAAGAUCUGAUCAUGCCAAGCCCAGAUUCCAUCCUGGCAAUGACCAGAGCCCAUGUUCUCUGUGGGCAAGUAAGUCCCUGAGAGUCUCCGUUUCUUUCUCCCCAAGGCAGGAGGCCAAGUGUCACUCACGCUUUAUCUUCUCCCACCUGGCCUGCUUCCCUCGCUGGAAUAAGAGUUGAUGUGUUGAUAUAUAAAUGUAUGCAGUAUGUCAUCACCUGCCACCCUGGAAGACCUUGGGUUGGAGUCUGAUCCUUCCUGUGAAGUGUUUGUGGUGGACAUUCAGCCACAGAGCUCCUACUGGCAAGAUGGGGCCUCGGUGCAAAAGACAGAAGGGCCCCCAGGGGGUAGCAGACAGUUCACAGGUGCCCCCCACCCGGGGCAAUGAAUUCCCCAGGCUGUGCUGGGCUCAGCCUCAUUCUCCUUGGCAGUCCCUGUUUGUGUUACCACGGAUGAGCCCAGGAGCCCGACAGCAAGGACAUCACCCACCGUUAUUUGGCUCAUCCAAUUCGAUGCACGUGGAACCUGGGCACCUGCCAGCAGUGACACAUGCCUGAGGUCCCCCUGCAGGCCAGGUUUCCUGCCAGCGCCGGGAGCCUGGAGUGGGUGUCGGCUAGGGUUUCCUCUGUCCUUGUUCCUACCCCCGGCUCCCAGACCAUCCAUCAGCCCACAGCUCACCUGUGAAACCCAAGGCUGGGAACUGCGGCGCUAUUCUGUUACAAAAUCAAGAUUUAUCGGAACAUGACAGGCCUGGAGGGUUUUAUGACAUGCAUGGCGCCAGUCCCUCCUCCUGACCUAUUUGUCCCCGGUGGGGCAGGGCAUUUUCUGACUGCCGACACCACUCCAUCUGCUCCUGGAUUCCCAGCAUUUUGACAGUCAGGACAAAAUGUCCAGCCUGGGCCAGGCCCCUUGGGCUGGAUUAUCACUUCGGCAGUGAGCGCUUGGCCCCUUCCCCUUGGAAAAAGACCUCAAGCCCUGCUCCCCCCAACCCUGGCUCGGCCUGGUGUGAAUGAAAUUCAAAUCGAGCUCUGACAGCCCCAUGAAUUGUCUGUUUUCCAACCUGCCUCCCGCUCUUUCAUCUUCACGGCAGAAACAGUGAAAUAAUCCGUUCCCAUCUCUACAAAGGCCCCACCACACCCCAAUUGCCUGUGUCUCAAGAGAAACGUGGUGUGGGGACCAUUUGGAGCCUCUUUAAAAACAACGUCACCACAUCCUGAGACCGCCUGGGAAUUGCCGUCCAGCAAGAGAGAAGCCGGUAAUCAGCACAUUCUCCUCACUGGCUCUGACAUCUGACCAGGACACUUGCAGAAAGCCCCGCUGGCCUUUCCAAGACAUUCUUCUUAAGGUAAAUUCCUAAAAAACCCGGCAAGAGUCCAAGCCUGUGCAUACAUAUGCCAAAAUCUAGAAAAAAGGAGCAGACUAUAAGAUGAUAAAAUUAUAAUUAGGCAAUCCCCUUCCAAAAGAGCCCAUAGCAAUCCAUUGCUUCUAUUCUUAUUUUGGUAAAGUACACCUCACAUACGAGUCACUAUUUUAACCAUUUCGAAGUGUAGAUUCAGUGGCAUUUAGUACAUUCACAGCACAGGGCAACCAUUGCCACAAACUCCAGAACAUUUUUACCGCCCGCAGAGGAAACCCUGCACCCACUCACAGACCCUCCCCAUUGUCCCUCACCCCAGCCCUUGUCAACCGCAAGCCUGCCUUCUGUCUAUAUGGAUUUGCUUUUUCUAGAUGUUUUGUGGAAAUGGAAUUAUGCGCUAUGCAGCCUUUUGUGUCCAAUGAGCACAUGAAAAGAUGCUCACCAUCAUAAGCUGUCAAAGAAAUGCAAAUCAAAACCACAAGGAGAUGCCACCUCACACCCACCAGGAUGGGUGUCAUCCAGGAAUGGAAAGUCACCAGCAUUGGUGAGGGUGUGGGGGAACUGGAGCCUGCAUUCACAGCUGGUGAGGGACAAAUGGUGCCAUUGCUGUGGACACCCACCGCUUCCUAACAAUCACUCAAGACUCAGCUGCUGGCUGGGCUUGCUCGGGCUGAAGGAAAAGGAGCCAGUGGGGGUCCCAUGCCUGUUGGAGCCCCAGACCUCCCGCGUAGCAGCCGUGUGACCUUCAAGAAUUCACUCGACCUCUAAUGUAAACAACACAAGUGCUAAGUAGUGUCGGUCUACUCAACACCAGCUCCUGAGCAUGAGGCUGGCGCAGAGGGGCCUUUCAAAAGAUGCUGUUGGAACGAUGGACAGACUGUUGACUCCACAUGAGCUAGCACAGUGCCCUCCUUGAAGGCCCACGAAGUUUCAGGAAGAGCCGAUCCCACAACCCAGCGGGCUGUAGAGCACCUCCAUGCCUCCGCAGAGCCGACUCCUCUGGUACCGCACGGCUGUGACAGAUCAUUUCUUCAUCCGUCUCCUCCCUCUGCCAAGUCAUCAGAAAAUGCUGAGCACCUAUGGAAAAUCCUCAGCACACUCCGCCUCUUCGGUCUGGUUUUCAUUUUAUGUUGUGCUGCUUUUUUGGUACAAUAAACAAGGUGAAAGCAAGCUGGCCUAAUGGGAAGUUUGACAUGAUUUCCACUCUUCUACCGAAAAGUGACGAUGCAGCUCCUGGGCCGAGGAGGGACGUUGUGUGACCGGUUCAGAGGCAGGAGUUCACGCCGCUGCAGUGACCCUCUGCAAAAGGAAGCAACUGGACAUUUCCUCUACACAUUGUCCUUUUGAAAAGUUCCAAAAUCCACACCACCAGGCUCAAGCCUGCCUCCUUCAGCAAGCCUCCCCAGGACCCUCCUCACACCUUCCCUGGCGAUGCAUCAGGCACACACAUUUAUUGAGCACCAGCUGAAUGCCAGCCACAGCAUUUACGUGGGGUUUCAGGUAUGAAUAGCAUCGUCGCGGAGCAAGCCAGGCCUGCAGUGCAGAACCACAGAGGCAAGGUGCCAUCACAGCACCAGAGCUUGGCAGGGCCAGGGACCAUCCCUCCCAUCGCCCAUCUCCUGGUCUAGAUGCAGUUAGGCUUCUGAGCAGUACCUGAAGCUUCCUUGUGCUCCUGUUCUCAAACCAUUUUCUUGUGUGUAAGAGGAACUUGUGUUGUCUCCAUCUGCCUGGUGUUUGCACCCAAAGCAAGCUCUCCAUGUGGGAGGGAAAAAAUUAACUGAGGAACCAAGCCUGGGGCAGAAGCACCAAAUCUGCACCUUUGCACUCUGGAGGGUUGUGAUGAACCGCUGCCUGUUUUUCCAGGGACUUUUUUCCCACCCACCUUUGAACUACCUUAAAACAAUCAAGUGCUGCCUUUUGACAGGCUGGCCUAAUGGGAAGGUUGUCUUUCUUCUUUUUGGAACCCUACGGAACUUCUCCCAGGCCACAAAGCUACAAUGUGGGACUUUCCUUAAAACGCUCCUGCCGUUUUCAUAGCAACGAUUCCAUGCAGCACGAAGGCAAGAGAAACCGAUAAGUCAUGACUA